GUAGGUGAACCUGCGGAAGGAUCAUUAUCGUACAACCGAGGUGCAAGGGCUGUCGCUGACCGUCAAAGGUCGUGCACGCCCGAGCGCUCUCACACAAUCCAUCUCACCUUUGUGCAUCACCGCGUGGGUCCCCUUUGCGGGAGGGCUUGCGUUUUCACAUAAAAACUCGAUACAGUGUAGAAUGUUUCUUUUGCGGUCACACGCAAUCAAUACAACUUUCAACAACGGAUCUCUUGGCUCUCGCAUCGAU
RNAcentral lists this unclassified non-coding RNA (250 nucleotides) under plant metagenome. Its description in RNAcentral is "partial contains small subunit ribosomal RNA, internal transcribed spacer 1, and 5.8S ribosomal RNA". The record is from RNAcentral.